CAGAAGCAUCAGAGUAGCCUGGGGACCCCAUUCGCAGCUACUGCCUGACGUUAAGGUCCCUCUAAAUAGAAAACUUAAAAUCUGGAUCAUUAAGACAGGAGUGGGAAAGACAGCUCCAUCGAGAGUCUGCUAUGAAGACAUGGGGACCUGUGUAUAGAUUUGCAGCACCUGCAGGAAUCCAGAUCCAGCAGCUGCAUCUGUAAAUAAAGUGCAGGGAUUCAUACAUCGUGUUGUUGGUCUUAUUCUGAUAUUACUAGAUUACUAAUCUUACAAGUUCUUGGCAAUGUCAUUCCACCACGGGAAAAGGAUUUCAUGAGACUCUAUGCCUAGUUGUUGCUGUGAUUCUAGUGCCUAUGUCUUUCCUGGAUAUGGGUAAAAGGAUUUCAAAAGGGAAGAAAAAAGAAGGAACCAAAAGAGAAUAUUUAAAUGAGCAGAGAAGGGGUGUGUCGUCCCCAUAAGUGUUAACCGAACAAGGAGAAAAACUCUUUCCCAUUUGUACAUAUAAGUACAUUGUAUCGAUCAAAAGAUAUAUCACACAUUACAAAGCUAAUGGACAGAAAUGGAGGAACUAUACUCAGAAUGGAGAUAGAACGUAAAAAUAGCAUUACCUAAGCCGUCCCAAUCAGAAAAGAAAAUUGUAUAUAAGGCCACAUUGCUUUCUCCUGAACAUGUGGGAGAGAUGAUCACAUCAUCUAGGUUUGAUGAGCAACUGGCAGUAGCUGAAUCCUUCACUGAUGGCGCACUCCUUACUCGUGAGCAAGAAGCCCAUCACCAACAGUAACAGAGGACACAGCAGCAAUAUGGCGUCUUGCAACCCUUUGUGCUUACACAGCAUCCUUUGUUAGGACUUUCUCUGUGAAUCUGAGUUAACUAAGGGGGAAAAAGCAAUCUAGAUGGUGAAGGUAAUGUCAGAGACUCGAGUUUAUGAACACAGCAAUGUUAAUUCUGUAGCUAAUUUGUAUGAAGGAGAAUGCAUGGAUAACGGGAAAGAAAAUAGCUUGAUGCAGAAAGACGGCUCAGUAUCUAAGAGCGAUUGCUAUUCUUCCAGAGGAUCCAGGCUUUGAUCCUAGAACUCAAGUAAUAGUUUGUGACCGUCUGUAACUCCGGUUCCAGGGAAUCUAACACCUUCUUCUGGCCUCUAUGGGCCCCAGGCACGCACAGACAGAUGCAUCCAGGCAAAACAUCCAAGCACAUAAGACAAUUUUUUUCAAAAAGAUGAGAGACCUCGGAGGGGUCAUGUUUCCUUGUGUCUCAGAUCCCAUACAACACUCGGGUCUAAUGGCGGAGAGCUGAGACUUGUAAGCUUGGUCUGACUUUCAAGACGGCUCUCCUGAGAAGCUGACUGUCUAGGUGAUGAAUGCUGCAUAUUGCAAUAAAAUAAAAGCAUUUGGGAUUAAAAGCAAUGAAUGCACCAUCGAUUUCGUCGGUUUGGCUGUUGCCUUGGUGGAAGAAUAGGACAGAGGUGCUCUCCCUCACCUUCAUCCAGACAUAGGUGUUACCUGCACCUGUCCACUAGCUCAUCCUUCACAGGCUGCAAUUAAUUCAUGUUAUACAACUACCCUUAGUAAGCUGGAGUUACAGGAAAGAGAAUGCUACAUCGCUUCUUACAAACUAGUAUUUGGGGU
Molecule: small RNA, 1625 nt
Filed under: Rattus norvegicus (Norway rat)
Lineage: Eukaryota; Metazoa; Chordata; Mammalia; Rodentia; Muridae
Description: uncharacterized LOC102550745
Source: RNAcentral